This 2612-nucleotide long non-coding RNA is filed under the name Mus musculus (house mouse). RNAcentral describes it as "long non-coding RNA chr3:141686552-141689164". The record is from RNAcentral. Lineage: Eukaryota; Metazoa; Chordata; Mammalia; Rodentia; Muridae.
AAACUAUCAAGAACUGCUGUGUCAGAUUGUCAAGGGGAGAUGAGAGAUGGUUGUACAAAUUUUAUUAAAUUACACAUACUCUUUUGUUACAAUUCCAUGUCUUAGAAUCAUAGGGUUUUCAACUUAAUAGAUGUGUGGUAGUCAUUUAUUUUAACUUAGGAGUUGUUGGCAUGAUCCAAGCUUUAUAUUAAAUUAAGUGUAAACUGUUUUUCUAUUAUCUUGACAUCAUGGACCUACUAUGUCACAUGGAACUUCAUGAAGUGAGUCUGGUGACAUUCUCUUCCUUUAGUAAUUGUUAACACUUGAGAGAGAUAUUUGUUAUAUACACUUCUGCAAUUUACAAUUUUCUCCACCAUUUGAGGAGCAUGCUCCAUGGAGUCUCAAGUAGUAAUCUGGGGCUAGAGAGAUGGCUCAGUGGUUAAAAGCACUGACUACUUACUCUUCCAGAAGGCCUGAGUUCAAUUCCCAGCAACCACGUGGUGACUUACAAUCAUCUGUAAUGGAUCUGAUGUUCUCUUCUCGUAUGUCUGAAGAUAGCUACAGUGUACUCAUAUAAAUAAAACAAAUAUUAAUUUUUAAAAAAAGUAGUAUCUAUGAUUUUUACUGUUCUAGCUCCAUGGUUACUUGAUGUUGGAUACUAAGUUUAAUAAAUACAUGUUGAAGGAAUUAUUUUUAAAACAGGUUUCCUGUCACCUGAUUCUAUCAAAAUCUUCCUUAUUCUUAAAGAGGUUUACUCAGAGAGUAUUGUAAAUUAAUCUUUCUAUAAAAGUGAAACUAAUAUGUCUUCAUUUCUCUUGCUUAUACUUAUUCCAAUUUCAUUUGCUCUUUUGCAUGCUAAUUGUAUGAAUACUACCUUAAUAUAUGAGAAAGUAUCAAUAUUCAAUCAUUUUAUAUAAAAAUGUAGUUUACCAUAAAUCCUAUUUAUGUAAGAAUUGUAUAUUUUUAUCUAUCUAUCUGUCUCUCUAUCAUAUGUCUAUCAUAUGUCUUUUAAGCUACAAUAGAAUGACGUGUAUUGACUCAUUACUUGCAAGAUGGUAAUCUUCAAAGAUAGAAGCAUAGGACAUCAAAAGAAGAAAUGGUCAAGAAGCAUUUGCAUGGGGAGGUCACUCUACUAAGUUUAGGUAACUAGAAUUCUAUGAAUGUCCUGAUGGUGGACUUAUCCAUACUGUUUCAUGAAAAGGUGAUUCGACGAAUAUAUUAAUCAGCUCAGUCUUCUGUAAGAAGACUUAUUCUGUUAAUCACGGUAUGUGAUGUGUUUCUUAUCAUCUUAAGCUCAGUCCUCAUUAAUAGAGUAAAAUUUUUUUUUAAUUUAUGUAACUUUUACUUAUUCGCUUUACAAGCCACUCACUGCCCCUCUCCCACAAUCCUCUGUGUCUCGCCCUCCUCUUCUCCAGAGUGAUCAUUUUUAAAAGAAGCUGUGUGGGUUUUAUUUAACGUUCUGCAACGUGAUGCUUAAAAUUUGGAAAGUGUAUUCGAACCCAUGCCACAACGUUUUGCAUUUGAGUCACAGCUAUAUCGCUUCUGCAAACACAGAGACAUCUGUGUAUAACAUAGCGGCCUGCUAAUGAAAAUGAAUGGCCUUGGAAAAUAAGGCUAUUAUUCACUUGAUUUCCUUCUCAGAGGUAUUCAUUUGAGUAGCAAAAAAUAACAGUUUUUUUUUUCUUUGCAUGAUGAAGCUAGCCCCAGGGCUGGGUAAAUCAAAAUAGAAAAUUGAUACAGAUCCAUGUAGUACAAGAAGGUUUGCCCACAGAGUCAAUCUGAUAACUUCACAAGAGAGUAGUUCCCAGAUUGUCAUAACAGAAGACCAGCUAUCCUGAAUUAGACACUUCUACUUACUCCUGGCUUGUUACUGUUUCCAGUUGAUUGAUAUUUAUUUCACAUUCGUUGAAAUCAGUCUGGAACACAUGAGUUGACAUGGCUGACAAAAAUCUCAACUGCAACAACAAAAAUAGAUUUCAGUCCAAUUCCAGAACUGGAGUUUUGGUUGCUGACUUCUACUUCUAGUUUAUCACAAGGAUGGGCCCUACUAGACAGAUGACUUGAGUGCCUACACUGUGCCCAAGCCUGGCCGGUGCAUCCGUUGUUCCCAAAACUUACAAGCAAAAGUCAGUGCCUGACAUUCUUUUUAGAUUACAUGCUUCGAUUCUUUCUGUUCACUUUUUUUCCAUUUCUGUUUUCCAUUUUGAAAUUCUCAAUAUUAUAAACUCUGCUUAUAUCCUGACAAACCCUGACUAUAGCACAUUUGCAGAACUGUAAUAUUUCUAUUGUCUAAAUUUUAUAUUGCAUAGAAAAUGCUAAUAUCACGCAUUUAUUGAAAAAUAUGAUGACAGCAUGAUUUGUUAAGGUAAGAAAACAUGACAUGUUUCCAUGCAAUUUUAACAAGCUGUGUUUUAUUAGAGAAAACCAAAGAUUUUGUGAAAUUGUAUAUAGUUAGCAUUUUUAGUGAAAGAAAGACAUUUCACAUUAGCAUUAAGAACAAACUGGAAAACAUCCAUUUUUCCUCUUUUCCCUAAGACAAAAGCACUGAUUAACAUGAUCUAUAAUAUGCAUGUACACCAAUAUGUAAGUGCAUAUAUAUAUUUGUAUCUAUGUGUAUGUGUGUUCAUAAAUCC